RNAcentral lists this ribosomal RNA (460 nucleotides) under uncultured bacterium. RNAcentral's name for it is "partial 16S ribosomal RNA". It matches the Rfam family "Bacterial small subunit ribosomal RNA", at positions 338 to 795 of the family's 1533-position model. The record is from RNAcentral.
CCUACGGGAGGCAGCAGUGAGGAAUAUUGGUCAAUGGGCGCUAGCCUGAACCAGCCAAGUAGCGUGAAGGAUGACUGCCCUAUGGUUUGUAAACUUCUUUUAUAUGGGAAUAAAGUGCAGUAUGUAUACUGCUUUGCAUGUACCUUAUGAAUAAGGAUCGGCUAACUCCGUGCCAGCAGCCGCGGUAAUACGGAGGAUCCGAGCGUUAUCCGGAUUUAUUGGGUUUAAAGGGAGCGUAGGCGGGUUGUUAAGUCAGUUGUGAAAGUUUGCGGCUCAACCGUAAAAUUGCAGUUGAUACUGGCAGCCUUGAGUACAGUAGAGGUAGGCGGAAUUCGUGGUGUAGCGGUGAAAUGCUUAGAUAUCACGAAGAACUCCGAUUGCGAAGGCAGCCUGCUGGACUGUAACUGACGCUGAUGCUCGAAAGUGUGGGUAUCAAACAGGAUUAGAUACCCUGGUAGUC